Molecule: ribosomal RNA, 253 nt
Filed under: uncultured bacterium
Lineage: Bacteria
Description: partial 16S ribosomal RNA
Rfam family: Bacterial small subunit ribosomal RNA
Source: RNAcentral
UACGUAGGGGGCAAGCGUUGUCCGGAAUCAUUGGGCGUAAAGCGCGUGUAGGCGGUUCGAUAAGUCUGCUGUGAAAGUCCAGGGCUCAACCCUGGGAUGCCGGUGGAUACUGUCGAGCUAGAGUACGGAAGAGGCGAGUGGAAUUCCCGGUGUAGCGGUGAAAUGCGCAGAUAUCGGCAGGAACACCCAGGGGGAAACCAGCCGACUGGGCGAGUGCUGACGCUGAGGUGCGAGAGCGUGGGGAGCGAACCGG